GGCUGGAUCCCCUCCUUAACGGAUUGCGAGUAAGACUCAAUCAGCCGGUCAGGCCUUCGGGCCGCGGCGAGUCGGAAAGCUUUCGUAAGUCGCUCGCCUCGUACAUCUCUCUUCCCAAAUUCGAUUUUCUCUGCUUCGAUGCCUCGACCGAGGGCACGUCUCUCGGUCGUUGAGCGUCUUCGCUGUUUGACAAUGGAACGUUUGGUAGAUCGCGGAUUUGAGAAUUUCUCAUUGAGAAUAUUCAAUUUCGUUUUUUAGAAUGCGAAUUCACUCGAUGUAGUGGUCCUGGAUUGCGCCAGGACACGAUUCGAACCGCCGGCGGAACAUCGUUCGGUGGGUUGGAAUCGGUGGUUCAGUAGAACCAGACAGAUCGUACAUGUAGCUCUGCUUGCUACGAGUUUUGUAGUCAAGCGAGUGAAGGCAUGUGGGGGAUGCCUGGGCACACGGAGGCGAGGAAGGCCGUGGUAAGCUGCGAUAAGCUUGGGGGAGCGGCACACACGCGAUGAUCCCGAGAUGGCCGAAUGGGGAAACCCGGAAGGGCGAA
This 544-nucleotide unclassified non-coding RNA is filed under the name uncultured Gemmatimonadota bacterium. Its description in RNAcentral is "uncultured Gemmatimonadetes bacterium partial contains 16S ribosomal RNA, 16S-23S ribosomal RNA intergenic spacer, and 23S ribosomal RNA". The stretch from base 405 to 544 matches the Rfam family "Bacterial large subunit ribosomal RNA", at positions 1 to 140 of the family's 2925-position model. The record is from RNAcentral. Lineage: Bacteria; Pseudomonadati; Gemmatimonadota.